AACGAACGCUGGCGGCAUGCCUAACACAUGCAAGUCGAACGAGACCUUCGGGUCUAGUGGCGCACGGGUGCGUAACGCGUGGGAACCUGCCCUUAGGUUCGGAAUAACUCCCCGAAAGGGGUGCUAAUACCGGAUAAUGUCUUCGGACCAAAGAUUUAUCGCCUUUGGAUGGGCCCGCGUUGGAUUAGCUAGUUGGUAGGGUAAAAGCAUACCAAGGCGACGAUCCAUAGCUGGUCUGAGAGGAUGAUCAGCCACACUGGGACUGAGACACGGCCCAGACUCCUACGGGAGGCAGCAGUGGGGAAUAUUGGAAAAUGGGCGAAAGCAUGAUCCAGCAAUGCCGCGUGAGUGAUGAAGGCCUUAGGGUUGUAAAGCUCUUUUACCCGGGAUGAUAAUGACAGUACCGGGAGAAUAAGCUCCGGCUAACUCCGUG
This 433-nucleotide ribosomal RNA is filed under the name uncultured bacterium. RNAcentral's name for it is "partial 16S ribosomal RNA". It matches the Rfam family "Bacterial small subunit ribosomal RNA", at positions 29 to 507 of the family's 1533-position model. The record is from RNAcentral.